UACGUAGGGUGCAAGCGUUGUCCGGAUUUAUUGGGUUUAAAGGGUGCGUAGGUGGCCCGUUAAGUCCGGGGUGAAAGCCCACUGCUCAACAGUGGAACUGCCCUGGAUACUGACGGGCUUGAGUCCAGACGAGGUUGGCGGAAUGGAUGGUGUAGCGGUGAAAUGCAUAGAUACCAUCCAGAACCCCGAUUGCGUAGGCAGCUGACUAGGCUGGUACUGACACUGAGGCACGAAAGCGUGGGGAGCGAACAGG
Molecule: ribosomal RNA, 253 nt
Filed under: uncultured bacterium
Lineage: Bacteria
Description: partial 16S ribosomal RNA
Rfam family: Bacterial small subunit ribosomal RNA
Source: RNAcentral